CGAAAUCAACCCCAAUAACCAGAAAAAAGGCAGUCUGUUUGUCGCCGGAUUUUAACAUCUUCCGGCGAGGCUUCUAUGUCGAGGUUUCAGUUCGUUAGUUUCGGUGUUUCAGCUUGCCGAUCAUGGCUCUAUUUGGGACGAUCGAUUUGUAAACUUCCAAAUUUGUUCAUCAACAUAGAGGUUCAUCUUUAACCUUUGUUUUGAGUUAGUAUUGGUUAAUAUCCUUUUUGGGCUUGAAUAAACGUUAAGCAUUUUACAAAUUUUGUUUAAUCCUUUGUGUUUUAGCUUUGUGUUUAUAUUAUUGGUAUCUCGAAUUGG
Molecule: long non-coding RNA, 318 nt
Filed under: Nicotiana benthamiana
Lineage: Eukaryota; Viridiplantae; Streptophyta; Magnoliopsida; Solanales; Solanaceae
Description: long non-coding RNA (NBEN_LNC024239)
Source: RNAcentral